GAAAAGCGUGGGGAGCAAACAGGAUUAGAUACCUUGGUAGUCCACGCCGUAAACGAUGUCUACUUGGAGGUUGUGGCCUUGAGCCGUGGCUUUCGGAGCUAACGCGUUAAGUAGACCGCCUGGGGAGUACGGUCGCAAGAUUAAAACUCAAAUGAAUUGACGGGGGCCCGCACAAGCGGUGGAGCAUGUGGUUUAAUUCGAUGCAACGCGAAGAACCUUACCUACUCUUGACAUCCAGAGAAGCCAGCGGAGACGCAGGUGUGCCUUCGGGAGCUCUGAGACAGGUGCUGCAUGGCUGUCGUCAGCUCGUGUUGUGAAAUGUUGGGUUAAGUCCCGCAACGAGCGCAACCCUUAUCCUUGUUUGCCAGCGAGUAAUGUCGGGAACUCCAGGGAGACUGCCGGUGAUAAACCGGAGGAAGGUGGGGACGACGUCAAGUCAUCAUGGCCCUUACGAGUAGGGCUACACACGUGCUACAAUGGCGCAUACAGAGGGCAGCAAGCUAGCGAUAGUGAGCGAAUCCCAAAAAGUGCGUCGUAGUCCGGAUUGGAGUCUGCAACUCGACUCCAUGAAGUCGGAAUCGCUAGUAAUCGUGAAUCAGAAUGUCACGGUGAAUACGUUCCCGGGCCUUGUACACACCGCCCGUCACACCAUGGGAGUGGGCUGCAAAAGAAGUGGGUAGUUUAACCUUCGGGG
This 694-nucleotide ribosomal RNA is filed under the name Vibrio sp. Af-M5. Its description in RNAcentral is "bacterial SSU rRNA". It matches the Rfam family "Bacterial small subunit ribosomal RNA", at positions 754 to 1447 of the family's 1533-position model. Lineage: Bacteria; Pseudomonadati; Pseudomonadota; Gammaproteobacteria; Vibrionales; Vibrionaceae. The record is from RNAcentral.